UACGUAGGGGGCUAGCGUUGUCCGGAAUCAUUGGGCGUAAAGCGCGUGUAGGCGGUCCGGUAAGUCCGCUGUGAAAGUCGAGGGCUCAACCCUCGAAUGCCGGUGGAUACUGUCGGGCUUGAGUACGGGAGAGGCGAGUGGAAUUCCUGGUGUAGCGGUGAAAUGCGCAGAUAUCAGGAGGAACACCGGUGGCGAAGGCGGGUCUCUGGGCCGAAACUGACGCUGAGGAGCGAAAGCGUGGGGAGCGAACAGG
RNAcentral lists this ribosomal RNA (253 nucleotides) under uncultured bacterium. RNAcentral describes it as "partial 16S ribosomal RNA". It matches the Rfam family "Bacterial small subunit ribosomal RNA", at positions 524 to 776 of the family's 1533-position model. The record is from RNAcentral.